This 1415-nucleotide ribosomal RNA is filed under the name Enterococcus faecalis. RNAcentral describes it as "partial 23S ribosomal RNA". It matches the Rfam family "Bacterial large subunit ribosomal RNA", at positions 289 to 1703 of the family's 2925-position model. The record is from RNAcentral. Lineage: Bacteria; Bacillati; Bacillota; Bacilli; Lactobacillales; Enterococcaceae.
UUGUUGGGGUUGUAGGACUCCAAUAUGGUAGUCUGUUAGUAUAGUUGAAGGAUUUGGAAAAUUCCGCUAAAGAGGGUGAAAGCCCCGUAGACGAAAUGCUAACAACACCUAGGAGGAUCCUGAGUACGGCGGAACACGAGAAAUUCCGUCGGAAUCCGCGGGGACCAUCCCGCAAGGCUAAAUACUCCCUAGUGACCGAUAGUGAACCAGUACCGUGAGGGAAAGGUGAAAAGCACCCCGGAAGGGGAGUGAAAUAGAUCCUGAAACCGUGUGCCUACAACAAGUCAAAGCUCGUUAAUGAGUGAUGGCGUGCCUUUUGUAGAAUGAACCGGCGAGUUACGAUUGCAUGCGAGGUUAAGUCGAAGAGACGGAGCCGCAGCGAAAGCGAGUCUGAAUAGGGCGAAUGAGUAUGUAGUCGUAGACCCGAAACCAUGUGAUCUACCCAUGUCCAGGUUGAAGGUGCGGUAAAACGCACUGGAGGACCGAACCCACGUACGUUGAAAAGUGCGGGGAUGAGGUGUGGGUAGCGGAGAAAUUCCAAACGAACUUGGAGAUAGCUGGUUCUCUCCGAAAUAGCUUUAGGGCUAGCCUCGGAAUUGAGAAUGAUGGAGGUAGAGCACUGUUUGGACUAGGGGCCCAUCUCGGGUUACCGAAUUCAGAUAAACUCCGAAUGCCAUUCAUUUAUAUCCGGGAGUCAGACUGCGAGUGAUAAGAUCCGUAGUCGAAAGGGAAACAGCCCAGACCACCAGCUAAGGUCCCAAAAUAUAUGUUAAGUGGAAAAGGAUGUGGGGUUGCACAGACAACUAGGAUGUUGGCUUAGAAGCAGCCACCAUUUAAAGAGUGCGUAAUAGCUCACUAGUCGAGUGACCCUGCGCCGAAAAUGUACCGGGGCUAAACAUAUUACCGAAGCUGUGGACUACACCAUUAGGUGUAGUGGUAGGAGAGCGUUCUAAGGGCGUUGAAGGUCGAUCGUGAGGACGGCUGGAGCGCUUAGAAGUGAGAAUGCCGGUAUGAGUAGCGAAAGACAGGUGAGAAUCCUGUCCACCGUAUGACUAAGGUUUCCUGGGGAAGGCUCGUCCGCCCAGGGUUAGUCGGGACCUAAGCCGAGGCCGAUAGGCGUAGGCGAUGGACAACAGGUUGAUAUUCCUGUACCAGUUGUUUUUGUUUGAGCAAUGGAGGGACGCAGUAGGCUAAGGAAUGCAUGCGAUUGGAAGUGCAUGUCCAAGCAAUGAGUCUUGAGUAGAGUUAAAUGCUUUACUCUCUAAGGACAAGUUGUGACGGGGAGCGAAAUAAUAGUAGCGAAGUUCCUGAUGUCACACUGCCAAGAAAAGCUUCUAGUGAGAAAACAACUGCCCGUACCGUAAACCGACACAGGUAGUCGAGGAGAGUAUCCUAAGGUGAGCGAGCGAACUCUC